RNAcentral lists this ribosomal RNA (443 nucleotides) under uncultured bacterium. RNAcentral's name for it is "partial 16S ribosomal RNA". It matches the Rfam family "Bacterial small subunit ribosomal RNA", at positions 338 to 795 of the family's 1533-position model. The record is from RNAcentral.
CCUACGGGCGGCAGCAGUGGGGAAUAUUGGGCAAUGGUCGCAAGCCUGACCCCGCAACGCCGCGUGAAGGCAGAAGGCUUUCUGGUUGUAAACUUCUUUUCUGAUGUACGAAGAAAGUGACUGUACCUCAGGAAUAAGCCACGUCUCACUACGUGCCAGCAGCCGCGGUAAUACGUAGGUGGCAAGCGUUAUCCGGAUUUAUUGGGUGUAAAGGGCGUGUAGGCGGGAAAGCAAGUCAGAUGUGAAAACUCAGGGCUCAACCCUGAGCCUGCAUUUGAAACUGGUUUUCUUGAGUGCUGGAGAGGCAAUCGGAAUUCCGUGUGUAGCGGUGAAAUGCGUAGAUAUACGGAGGAACACCAGUGGCGAAGGCGGAUUGCUGGACAGUAACUGACGCUGAGGCGCGAAAGCGUGGGGAGCAAACAGGAUUAGAUACCCGGGUAGUC